RNAcentral lists this long non-coding RNA (500 nucleotides) under Bemisia tabaci. RNAcentral's name for it is "lncRNA ENSSSA2NGG000355". Lineage: Eukaryota; Metazoa; Arthropoda; Insecta; Hemiptera; Aleyrodidae. The record is from RNAcentral.
GUUCCUCAUCUAGUGGGACGAGUUUCUGGAAUUGUGUCGAUGAUUAUUCUGGAUUAUUCUGCCCAAUUAAGCUAUCUUCGUCAGGAUGGUGAGGCUCUCCGGUCAGUGUAGUUUCAGUGACGUUGUGAGUGCUUUCAGCUUGGCGUCGGGCAAAUGGAUAACCUACCGCUGAAUCGUCUGCAUUGAGCUGCGUACUGCUGAUCUGAUCGGUAUGUAAUUUUAUUUUAAUUGUAGCUUUCUGAAUAGAUUAACCUUGCAAUGGUUAAUAGUGCCGAAGUAAGGUGCUUUUAAUUGGAUUGGUUAGAAACUCUAACGGCACACAAUGGAUCGAGUCAAUAGGAGAGGUCGGACAGAAUUUGGAAAUACUUUAAACGCUUAUAACUCCGUUUAUACAAAACGUUGAGGUUCUGAAAUUGUUUCCAUUGGUUUCCUCGUGAAAUUGUCUUCUAGAAGCACCCCUUAAUGCCUAAAGCGUCACGAAAUACGUAUCAAAAUUUGCA